RNAcentral lists this ribosomal RNA (466 nucleotides) under uncultured bacterium. RNAcentral describes it as "partial 16S ribosomal RNA". It matches the Rfam family "Bacterial small subunit ribosomal RNA", at positions 28 to 507 of the family's 1533-position model. The record is from RNAcentral.
GACGAACGCUGGCGGUGUGCUUAACACAUGCAAGUCGAACGGUAAGGCCCUUUCGGGGGUCCACGAGUGGCGGACGGGUGCGUAACACGUGAGUAACCUGCCCUCAUCUCUGGGAUAACAGUCGGAAACGGUUGCUAAUACUGGAUAUGAGCUUGCAAGGCAUCUUGUGGGUUGGAAAGAUUUUUUUGGUUGGGGAUGGACUCGCGGCCUAUCAGCUUGUUGGUGAGGUAGUGGCUCACCAAGGCUUCGACGGGUAGCCGGCCUGAGAGGGCGACCGGCCACAUUGGGACUGAGAGACGGCCCAAACUCCGACGGGAGGCAGCAGUGGGGAAUAUUGCACGAUGGACGGAAGUCUGAUGCAGCAACGCCGCGUGCGGGAUGACGGCCUUCGGGUUGUAAACCGCUUUCAAUUGUGACGAAGCUUUUUGUGACGGUAGCAGUAGAAGAAGCACCGGCUAACUACGUG